Molecule: ribosomal RNA, 386 nt
Filed under: uncultured Chrysophyceae
Lineage: Eukaryota; Chrysophyceae
Description: partial small subunit ribosomal RNA
Rfam family: Eukaryotic small subunit ribosomal RNA
Source: RNAcentral
GCUUGUCUCAAAGAUUAAGCCAUGCAUGUCUAAGUAUAAGCAAACUUGUACUGUGAAACUGCGAAUGGCUCAUUAUAUCAGUUAUAGUCUACUCGAUAGUACCUUACUACUUGGAUAACCGUAGUAAUUCUAGAGCUAAUACAUGCGUCAAACCUCGACUUCUGGGAGAGGUGUAUUUAUUAGAUGGAAACCAAUGCGGGGCAACCCGGUAUAUGGUGAUUCAUAAUAACUUUCGGAUCGAUCUUCGGAUCGAUGCAUCAUUCAAGUUUCUGCCCUAUCAGCUUUGGAUGGUAGGGUAUUGGCCUACCAUGGCUUUAACGGGUAACGGAGAAUUAGGGUUCGAUUCCGGAGAGGGAGCCUGAGAAAUGGCUACCACAUCCAAGGAA